GACGAACGCUGGCGGCGUGCUUAACACAUGCAAGUCGAACGGAAAGACCCUGCUUUUGUGGGGUGCUCGAGUGGCGAACGGGUGAGUAACACGUGAGUAACCUGCCCUUGACUUUGGGAUAACUUCAGGAAACUGGGGCUAAUACCGGAUAGGAGCUCCUGCUGCAUGGUGGGGGUUGGAAAGUUUCGGCGGUUGGGGAUGGACUCGCGGCUUAUCAGCUUGUUGGUGGGGUAGUGGCUUACCAAGGCUUUGACGGGUAGCCGGCCUGAGAGGGUGACCGGCCACAUUGGGACUGAGAUACGGCCCAGACUCCUACGGGAGGCAGCGGUGGGGAAUAUUGCACAAUGGGCGGAAGCCUGAUGCAGCAACGCCGCGUGCGGGAUGACGGCCUUCGGGUUGUAAACCGCUUUCGCCUGUGACGAAGCGUGAGUGACGGUAAUGGGUAAAGAAGCACCGGCUAACUACGUG
Molecule: ribosomal RNA, 468 nt
Filed under: uncultured bacterium
Lineage: Bacteria
Description: partial 16S ribosomal RNA
Rfam family: Bacterial small subunit ribosomal RNA
Source: RNAcentral